ACAGCAAGGCCAUGGCUGCAUCGCUGCGUGUUAGAAGGACGGGGACCUCAAAGCCCUUCCACCUAGGAGGCCAUGGAUCGUGCCCGCAGGCUCCUCCUCACACUCACUCACACUCAAACUUCUAGGACUACUGAACUGCAGACCUACUGGCUGACUCCUAGUCGGCAAGACAGAAGGAAGUCACGAUGUCUCUUUGCACAGCUCUGCUGGGACAGAAGGCAGACAGUAAGGCGCAUGGGCAACAAGGGACUUGGGCAGUAAGGGGCGUUCACACUGAGUCAGGCACAUGCAAGGCCAGCCAGGGUUUUCCCACUGUCCCAAAACCAGAAUCCCCAGUAUGUUUGUAGUAGAAAGAAAGGGACUUAAGAGAUAUUUUUUUUUCUCUCUCUCUUGUCCUACCAUUCUCAUGCAUCCAGAAACUUUGGGAACAGAGAGUCCCAUGUCACCCUUAGUGGUUGAUGUGUCUCAGAAAGACCUUUUGUGACAGAAAUAAAUUAUUUUAAUGUUUAUAUUUAUACAUGCUUUUUUUUUCCAGACAGGGUGUUACUUUGUCGCCCUGGAUGGAGGGCAAUGGCAUGACUUUACCUCACUGCAGCCUGGAUCUCCUGGGCAUAAGCAAUACUCAAGACGCAGCCUCCGAAGUAGUUGGGACUACAGGUGUGUGCCACCAUGCCCAGCUAUUUUAUUUAUUUAUUUACUUAGAGACAGAAUCUCACUACAUUGUCCAGGCUGGUCUCAAUUUCUGGGAUCGAGUGAUCCUCCCACCUUGGCCAAUUUUUAUUCAUACUUUGAUUAAUCACUUCCUUCUCUGGUCUGAGGUUUUCUGCCAUGCUACCAAUGAAUAGAACCACUUCUGUAGACUAAAUAAAUUCACACCUCUUCCUUUUUUAGGUGGUAUUAUUGCACAUUUUAAUCUCUGGACUGGUAACUGAUUUCCCUGAAUAUACCUGUAGGUCAUUCAGACAGUGUAUGGUUCAGAAAUAUCCAUACAUAUGAUGUGGUUUGACUCUGUCCCCACCCAAAUCUCUCCUUGAAUUGUAGUUCCCAUAAUCCCCACAUGUCAUGGAAAGGACCCUGUGGGAGGUAAUGUAAUCAUGGGGUGGUUACCUUCAUGCUGUUCCCCUGAUAGUGAGUAAGUUUUCACAAGAUCUAAUGGUUUUAUAAGGGGCUUUUCCCCUUUUGCUCACUCUUCUCUCUCCUGCUGCCAUGUGAAGAAGGAUGUGUUUGCUUCCACUUCUUCCAUGAUUGUUAAGUUUCCAGAGGCCUCCCCAGCCCUGCAGAACUAUGAGUCAAUUAAACCUCUUUCCUUUAUAAAUUACCCACUCUCAGGUAUGUCCUUAUAGCAGCAUGAGAACGGACUAAUACAACAUUGGUCCUAGGAUUUAAACUUAGUUUAUUGUGACAUGAUGUACAGCAGUGGUGACUGUGCUCAUCAUAUACUCUACUCCCCAAAUAGCAGCCAAAUAACCUGUUCAUAAGACAGCGCUGACAUUAUUUAAAUAAAGCUAUAAGGUAGAGCACUACCUCCACAGAGGCACUAGUAUGUCAGAUGUGGAAGGGCUUUGGGUAUAUUUGUUGUGCUUUUCAUGUCCGGUAUAAAGUGGGUAUUUUAAAGUGGGGGAUGGUUUGGUUAGAAUUGGGUAGGAAUGACAAUGAUUUAGGAUUGGUGGAUGCAACAAGACUUUUUAGGCAAUGGGUUCAAAGAGUUUUGGGAUUGAAAAAUGUCAUUUGACACUUUUUAUUGAGGAGUUGAUGGAUCUUUCAGGCAAUUGCUGGAAAGAACAAUAAAGUUUUUUUGAAACUUUUAUUUUCCUUGGUAAGAGAUUCCUGUAUUAGUAAAAUUAUGAUAAUGAAGACAGUGGAAUAUAAACUCUUGUUAAUGUAGACAGUAAACUAUGUCCAUGACUCCUGUUCUUAUUACUUUUAUAUUACCUAGCAGUUAAUGUGGGGAAUAGUAUAUGGAAGGGAAGGAUAGGAAGGGAGCCCUGAUCAGAAUGUAGCCUUUUAUAAAUAAAUUAGGAUAUAUUGUUGAACUGACAUCUAUAUAUUCUAUCUAGUUGAGCUUCUUUUUUUUUUUCUUUUGAGACGGAGUCUCACUCUAUUAUCCAGACUGGAGUGCAGUGGCAUGAUCUUUGGCUAACUGCAAUAUCUGCCCCCCAGAUUCAAGUGAUUCUCCUGCUUCAGGCUCGCAAGUAGCUGGGAUUAUAGGCACGUGCCAAUACACCCAGCUAAUUUUUGUAUUUUUAGUAGAGACGGAGUUUCACCAUGUGGGCCAGGCUGGUCUCGAACUCCUGACCUCAAGUGAUCCGCCCACCUCGGCCUCCCAAAGUGCUGGGAUUACAGGUGUGAGCCACCGUGCCUGGCCACAGCUGCACUCCUUUUAAGGAAAUACCCUGAGUAGGAAAAAAGAGAUUCCUCAAUCUCUGUCUCCAAAAAGUGGCUUGAGUAGUCAUUGUAGUUCUCAAAGUUUAUUUAAGGAGUGAGGGCACUCAUAAACUAUUAUUUAGUUUAUCUGUUAUCUUUUUUGUUUUUUCUUGGCAAGGACAUUGUCAUUACUAAAUUUUACUUGCAUUUUUCCCUUAUUAACUCCGGUUUUUAGUAUAGUGCACUCAGAAAUGUUCAAAGAAUGAGAGAUAGUGACAUCUGGGUUUAGAUUUUCUGUGAGCAUCGAAUUAGCAAAUGGUCAAAGUCAUGCCAUCAGAUGGCUGGAUGGAUGUGCUUCACAAGGACCUGGAUUUUAAUGAUUCCUGAGUGGACACACUCCAGCUUCAAAGGGCAGGUUUUAACUUCCUCCCAAAUUUGAGCUUCCUCCUGUUAUUCCCAUGGCAGGUGACCCUGGUCCAGCUGGAUGAGUUCAAAGGAUCAUAAUUGGAUUGGGAUGGGAGCAAGUUGUGAAGUAGCCCUUGUGACACUCACAGGAAGCAGCAGAAAGUAUGAGAAACUCUUUAGAGGCAAGAAGACUUGCCUGAUACAUGACGCUAGCAACUCUGAGGGCUGCUAAAGGAGAAGUUGGAGCUGGGACCAACACAGCCCAUCUACCUGUGGGUGGGCUCAAUUUCACCACAUGACAAGACCUUCCCAUCCUCCAAGCACUGGAAUAUGAACAAACUGAGAUUUCCACAGGACUGUGGCUGGGUGGGACAAAGUCUACAGAUUCUGAGCAGCUGGCAGUUUUCAGAGUACCAUAGUAAACACUGUCACCUGAGCUCUUCAGAUUGCUUGUUGGUUGAGGUCAAAUUAUUUACUACCUACCAUGUUAAUUGCAACUCCCCUAUUUGCCUCAUAAAGCGGGAGCACAAAAGGGAAAUGGAGGUCCCUGUGCAUUCACAGGGAGGUCCGCGUGAAUGGAUGCAAUUCAUGACAUUCAGCUAUGCUGCAGCCCAAACAAAGCCUCCUCAUGAUACCAAGAGGACAAGAGGUCACAUGUACUUUCUGUCCCUUUUGCAUGUGAUUUUAUGUCUGUCCAAGUAACACUUCACCUGUGCAAAACAGACAUGGUUAUCUGCUGAUGGAACACACAUUUCCUCUGUAAUUACAUAUUUCGUGGUAGCCUUUGUGGCCCAUAUCAAAGACCACGUUUUUGGCCAAGUGCAGUUGCACACACCUGUAUUCCCAGCAAUUUGGGAGGCCGAGAAGGGUGGAUCACUUGAGGUCAGGAAUUCGAGAUCAGCCUGGCCAACAUUGUGAAACCCCAUCUCUACUAAAAAUACAAAAGUUGGCCAGGUGAGGUAGUGCAGUCCUGUAAUCCCAGCUACUCGGCAGGCUAAGGUGGGAGAAUCGCUUGAACCUGGGAGGCAGAGGUUGCAGUGAGCCAAGACUGGGGUGACAGAGGGAGACUCUGUCUC
Molecule: long non-coding RNA, 3845 nt
Filed under: Homo sapiens (human)
Lineage: Eukaryota; Metazoa; Chordata; Mammalia; Primates; Hominidae
Description: non-protein coding lnc-XAGE1B-7:1
Source: RNAcentral